UUAAGUUAACAAGGGCGCAUGGUGAAUGCCUUGGCACUAGGAGCCGAUGAAGGACGGGACUAACACCGAUAUGCUUCGGGGAGCUGUACGUAAGCUAUGAUCCGGAGAUUUCCGAAUGGGGCAACCCAGCAGUUUUAAUCAACUGUUACCACUAGAUGAAUUCAUAGUCUAGUUGGAGGUAAACGCUGUGAACUGAAACAUCUCAUUAGCAGCAGGAAUAUAAAGAAAUUUCGAUUCCCUAAGUAGCGGCGAGCGAACGGGGAACAGCCCAAACCAAAGUGCUUGCACUUUGGGGUUGUAGGACUGAACAUUUGAGUUACCAAAGAACUUGAUAGUCGAAGGAUUUGGGAAAAUCCGCCAUAGAUGGUGAUAGCCCAGUAGAUUAAAUCAAAUUCUCUCAGUUCAGGAUCCUGAGUACGGCGGAACACGUGAAAUUCCGUCGGAAUCCGGGAGGACCAUCUCCCAAGGCUAAAUACUACCUAGUGACCGAUAGUGAACCAGUACCGUGAGGGAAAGGUGAAAAGCACCCCGGGAGGGGAGUGAAAUAGUUCCUGAAACCAUGUGCCUACAAUAAGUCAGAGCGCGUUAAUGCGUGAUGGCGUGCCUUUUGUAGAAUGAACCGGCGAGUUAUAAUCCCGUGCAAGGUUAAGACUAAAAAGUCGGAGCCGUAGCGAAAGCGAGUCUGAAAUGGGCGUUUUGAGUACGAGGUUAUAGACCCGAAACCAGGUGACCUAUCCAUGUCCAGGUUGAAGGUGCGGUAAAACGCACUGGAGGACCGAACCCGUGUAAGUUGAAAAUUGCUGGGAUGAGGUGUGGAUAGCGGUGAAAUUCCAAACGAACUUGGAGAUAGCUGGUUCUCUCCGAAAUAGCUUUAGGGCUAGCCUCGGAAUUAGGAUCAUGGAGGUAGAGCACUAUUUGGACUAGGGGCCCGUCUUGGGUUACUGAAUUCAGAUAAACUCCGAAUGCCAUUGAUUCAUAUCCGGGAGUCAGACGAUGAGUGAUAAGAUCCACCGUCGAAAGGGGAACAGCCCAGACCAUCAGUUAAGGUCCCUAAAUGUAUGCUAAGUGGAAAAGGAUGUGGAGUUGCAUAGACAACUAGGAUGUUGGCUCAGAAGCAGCCACCAUUUAAAGAGUGCGUAAUAGCUCACUAGUCGAGUGAUCCUGCGCCGAAAAUGUACCGGGGCUAAGCAUACUACCGAAACCAUGGAUGCGACCAUUAGGUCGCGUGAUAGGAGAGCGUUCUAAGGGCGGUGAAGCAAGAUCGUGAGGACUUGUGGAGCGCUUAGAAGUGAGAAUGCCGGUAUGAGUAGCGAAAGAUAGGUGAGAAUCCUAUCCACCGAAUGACUAAGGUUUCCUGGGGAAGGCUCGUCCUCCCAGGGUUAGUCGGGACCUAAGUCGAGGCCGAGAGGCGUAGACGAUGGAUAACAGGUUGAGAUUCCUGUACUAGUUAAGUGCGUUUGAGCAAUGGAGGGACGCAGGAGGCUAAGAUGUGCAUUCUGUUGGAUUAGAAUGUCCAAGCAGUAAGUCUUGUGAAGAGUCAAAUGCUUUUCACUUUAAGGACAAGCUGUGAUGGGGAGCGAAAUUUAGUAGCGAAGCGUCUGAUGUCACACUGCCGAGAAAAGCUUCUAGUGAGUACUUAACUACCCGUACCGCAAACCGACACAGGUAGUCGAGGAGAGAAUCCUAAGGUGAGCGAGUGAACUCUCGUUAAGGAACUCGGCAAAAUGACCCCGUAACUUCGGGAGAAGGGGUGCUGAUCGCAAGAUCAGCCGCAGUGAAUAGGCCCAGGCGACUGUUUAUCAAAAACACAGGUCUCUGCAAAAUCGUAAGAUGACGUAUAGGGGCUGACGCCUGCCCGGUGCUGGAAGGUUAAAAGGAUGGGUUAGCUUCGGCGAAGCUCAGAAUUGAAGCCCCAGUAAACGGCGGCCGUAACUAUAACGGUCCUAAGGUAGCGAAAUUCCUUGUCGGGUAAGUUCCGACCCGCACGAAAGGCGUAACGAUCUGGGCACUGUCUCAACGAGAGACUCGGUGAAAUUAUAUUGUCCGUGAAGAUGCGGACUACCCGCGACAGGACGGAAAGACCCCAUGGAGCUUUACUGUAGCUUGAUAUUGAGUGUUUGUACAGCUUGUACAGGAUAGGUAGGAGCCAUAGAAACCGGAACGCUAGUUUCGGUGGAGGCGUUGGUGGGAUACUACCCUCGCUGUAUGACCACUCUAACCCGCACCACUAAUCGUGGUGGGAGACAGUGUCAGGUGGGCAGUUUGACUGGGGCGGUCGCCUCCUAAAAAGUAACGGAGGCGCCCAAAGGUUCCCUCAGAAUGGUUGGAAAUCAUUCGCAGAGUGUAAAGGCACAAGGGAGCUUGACUGCGAGACAGACAGGUCGAGCAGGGACGAAAGUCGGGCUUAGUGAUCCGGUGGUACCGUAUGGAAGGGCCAUCGCUCAACGGAUAAAAGCUACCCUGGGGAUAACAGGCUUAUCUCCCCCAAGAGUCCACAUCGACGGGGAGGUUUGGCACCUCGAUGUCGGCUCAUCGCAUCCUGGGGCUGUAGUCGGUCCCAAGGGUUGGGCUGUUCGCCCAUUAAAGCGGUACGCGAGCUGGGUUCAGAACGUCGUGAGACAGUUCGGUCCCUAUCCGUCGCGGGCGUAGGAAAUUUGAGAGGACCUGUUCUUAGUACGAGAGGACCGGGAUGGACAUACCUCUGGUGUACCAGUUGUGCCGCCAGGCGCAUCGCUGGGUAGCUACGUAUGGAUGUGAUAAACGCUGAAAGCAUCUAAGUGUGAAACACACCUCGAGAUGAGAUUUCCCAUUCCUUUAUGGAAGUAAGACCCCUGAAAGAUGAUCAGGUAGAUAGGUUAGAAGUGGCAGUGCGGUGACGCAUGAAGCGGACUAAUACUAAUCGGUCGAGGACUUAACC
RNAcentral lists this ribosomal RNA (2917 nucleotides) under Lactiplantibacillus plantarum. RNAcentral describes it as "23S ribosomal RNA". It matches the Rfam family "Bacterial large subunit ribosomal RNA". The record is from RNAcentral. Lineage: Bacteria; Bacillati; Bacillota; Bacilli; Lactobacillales; Lactobacillaceae.